GGCUUAAACAUGCAAGUCGAGCGGAAGAGAGGUAGCUUGCUACUGAUCUUAGCGGCGGACGGGUGAGUAAUGCUUAGGAAUCUGCCUAUUAGUGGGGGACAACAUCUCGAAAGGGAUGCUAAUACCGCAUACGUCCUACGGGAGAAAGCAGGGGAUCUUCGGACCUUGCGCUAAUAGAUGAGCCUAAGUCGGAUUAGCUAGUUGGUGGGGUAAAGGCCUACCAAGGCGACGAUCUGUAGCGGGUCUGAGAGGAUGAUCCGCCACACUGGGACUGAGACACGGCCCAGACUCCUACGGGAGGCAGCAGUGGGGAAUAUUGGACAAUGGGGGGAACCCUGAUCCAGCCAUGCCGCGUGUGUGAAGAAGGCCUUAUGGUUGUAAAGCACUUUAAGCGAGGAGGAGGCUACUUUAGUUAAUACCUAGAGAUAGUGGACGUUACUCGCAGAAUAAGCACCGGCUAACUCUGUGCCAGCAGCCGCGGUAAUACAGAGGGUGCAAGCGUUAAUCGGAUUUACUGGGCGUAAAGCGCGCGUAGGCGGCUAAUUAAGUCAAAUGUGAAAUCCCCGAGCUUAACUUGGGAAUUGCAUUCGAUACUGGUUAGCUAGAGUGUGGGAGAGGAUGGUAGAAUUCCAGGUGUAGCGGUGAAAUGCGUAGAGAUCUGGAGGAAUACCGAUGGCGAAGGCAGCCAUCUGGCCUAACACUGACGCUGAGGUGCGAAAGCAUGGGGAGCAAACAGGAUUAGAUACCCUGGUAGUCCAUGCCGUAAACGAUGUCUACUAGCCGUUGGGGCCUUUGAGGCUUUAGUGGCGCAGCUAACGCGAUAAGUAGACCGCCUGGGGAGUACGGUCGCAAGACUAAAACUCAAAUGAAUUGACGGGGGCCCGCACAAGCGGUGGAGCAUGUGGUUUAAUUCGAUGCAACGCGAAGAACCUUACCUGGCCUUGACAUAGUAAGAACUUUCCAGAGAUGGAUUGGUGCCUUCGGGAACUUACAUACAGGUGCUGCAUGGCUGUCGUCAGCUCGUGUCGUGAGAUGUUGGGUUAAGUCCCGCAACGAGCGCAACCCUUUUCCUUAUUUGCCAGCGAGUAAUGUCGGGAACUUUAAGGAUACUGCCAGUGACAAACUGGGAAGGAAGGCGGGGACGACGU
This 1148-nucleotide ribosomal RNA is filed under the name uncultured Acinetobacter sp. Its description in RNAcentral is "bacterial SSU rRNA". It matches the Rfam family "Bacterial small subunit ribosomal RNA", at positions 45 to 1185 of the family's 1533-position model. Lineage: Bacteria; Pseudomonadati; Pseudomonadota; Gammaproteobacteria; Moraxellales; Moraxellaceae. The record is from RNAcentral.